UACGAGGGGGGUAAGCGUUGUUCGGAAUUACUGGGCGUAAAGGGCUCGUAGGCGGCCAACUAAGUCAGACGUGAAAUCCCUCAGCUUAACUGGGGAACUGCGUCUGAUACUGGAUGGCUUGGAUUCGGGAGAGGAAUGCGGAAUUCCAGGUGUAGCGGUGAAAUGCGUAGAUAUCUGGAGGAACACCGGUGGCGAAGGCGGCAUUCUGGACCGAUAUUGACGCUGAGGAGCGAAAGCCAGGGGAGCAAACGGG
Molecule: ribosomal RNA, 253 nt
Filed under: uncultured bacterium
Lineage: Bacteria
Description: partial 16S ribosomal RNA
Rfam family: Bacterial small subunit ribosomal RNA
Source: RNAcentral